GAACCAGAAGACUGCAGCAAAAAUAAGUGACCCAGGAAGAAGACCUCCAGAGGACUGCAGCAAGUCACUCUUCAUUGAAGACAUCAAGCCAGCAGCAGAGAAGAAGAACAACAGCAGACUCAGGAUGAAGAGCUCUACGAAGACGGCCUCCUAUGCU
This is a long non-coding RNA of Toxotes jaculatrix (banded archerfish), 157 nucleotides long. RefSeq lists it as uncharacterized. Lineage: Eukaryota; Metazoa; Chordata; Actinopteri; Toxotidae. The record is from RefSeq and is a predicted model, not a curated record. The transcript has 3 exons.